GACGAACGCUGGCGGCGUGCCUAAUACAUGCAAGUAGAACGCACAGUUUAUACCGUAGCUUGCUACACCAUAGACUGUGAGUUGCGAACGGGUGAGUAACGCGUAGGUAACCUGCCUGGUAGCGGGGGAUAACUAUUGGAAACGAUAGCUAAUACCGCAUAAUAUUGAUUAUUGCAUGAUAAUUGAUUGAAAGAUGCUAUUGCAUCACUACCAGAUGGACCUGCGUUGUAUUAGCUAGUAGGUGAGGUAACGGCUCACCUAGGCGACGAUACAUAGCCGACCUGAGAGGGUGAUCGGCCACACUGGGACUGAGACACGGCCCAGACUCCUACGGGAGGCAGCAGUAGGGAAUCUUCGGCAAUGGACGAAAGUCUGACCGAGCAACGCCGCGUGAGUGAAGAAGGUUUUCGGAUCGGAAAGCUCUGUUGUAUGAGAAGAACGGGUGUGAGAGUGGAAAGUUCACACUGUGACGGUAUCUUACCAGAAAGGGACGGCUAACUACGUG
RNAcentral lists this ribosomal RNA (505 nucleotides) under uncultured bacterium. RNAcentral describes it as "partial 16S ribosomal RNA". It matches the Rfam family "Bacterial small subunit ribosomal RNA", at positions 28 to 507 of the family's 1533-position model. The record is from RNAcentral.